Molecule: long non-coding RNA, 466 nt
Organism: Gadus morhua (Atlantic cod)
Lineage: Eukaryota; Metazoa; Chordata; Actinopteri; Gadiformes; Gadidae
Exons: 2
Source: RefSeq, a predicted model, not a curated record
AAUUCACUACGUGCACAUUAGCAUAUGCUACUUCCGGUAGCGUACUUCCUAUUGGCUGUCGAGCUUCCGGUAUCAACACGACUCGGCUGGAAUCCGGUAGCCCAAUGGCCGAAGCAAAUUUCUCAAGAUGUCUUGGACAUAUGCCGGCGAUAACAGUUGACGAUGUUCAUCGACUGGUCAGCAUAUUUUCACCCGCACCCCAAAGCAAACGAGAAAAGGGGUUUAUACUGUAUCUAUCGCAAUAUUUGCACAAUUUUGAAGUGUCUGACAAAGAUCCGGGUUCAGGAGAGGUCAGGGCAGAGUGCUACAGGUCAAUGAGGAAAAGAUCUUAUGUUACUAAUGAUUAAGUUAAUUGUACAUGUUCAUUUGAAUGCUUUGUUUAUUGAAGGGCAAUCUCCUUUCUCUUUAUUUAAUUCCCCCCUAUCCCUUGAUUUAUCAAUAAAUGAUAACGUAUUCAAACAUUUUA